Molecule: long non-coding RNA, 790 nt
Organism: Onychomys torridus (southern grasshopper mouse)
Lineage: Eukaryota; Metazoa; Chordata; Mammalia; Rodentia; Cricetidae
Exons: 2
Source: RefSeq, a predicted model, not a curated record
UGGCGGUGGAAGGAGACACGAGGGCCGAGGAAGCGUGAGGGGGGCCACAAAAAAAGACUCUGCAGGUGAUGCCCAGCAGGAUUUAGGGGCACUAGAGGUGACCCUCAAACGCCUAGAAGGGUGGGGACUCGGAAUCCCAGCAGCAAGUGCUCCGCAGGAAAGUACUAUCGCUGGACUUGCUAGUGGCGAAGCCCAAGAGGCAGGAACUGCAUCCAGUGCCUCCAAGUUUUGUUCCAGCACCUUAGAGCUACUCAUGUCGACACAGCACCUCCCGCUGGUUAGUCUCACUAGAGGAUGGGUGAUGCUGUGUAACUAUGAAAUAGACAGUCACGUUCUGCCACUGACGAAUGUGCUGUGUGACCUUGAGCGAGUGAAUUUGCCUCUCUCGGCUUUUCUUUCUCUAUGGAGUUGAGGCAAGAAGGUUCUGCGCGUCUCAAGAUCUCUUCCAACACUAAUACUCCCUCUGAAAAUUCCCAUUCCCAGCCUUAGUUAUAAACAUCGCUUCAGUGAGUUUGAAUUCUCUGGAGCCGUCUUGGCACAUUUGGAUGGACUUGGUCUGGAUGCCCCCCUGACUCAUUUGCCCAGCCCUCCUUUCUCCCCAUCACUCUGUCCUCCUCCUACACGGCCUCUCUGCCUGACACCCGCAGUUCUUCAUAUCCAGAAGUGAUUUUCCUAAAACUUAAACCUGACAUCCUUCUGUUUAAAACGGUUUUCAAGAAGCUGAGGCAGGAGGAUUACAUUUUCUGUUAGUCUGGGUUAUGUAGUGACUAUAUGAAAAAAAAAAAAAAAA